Molecule: ribosomal RNA, 467 nt
Filed under: uncultured bacterium
Lineage: Bacteria
Description: partial 16S ribosomal RNA
Rfam family: Bacterial small subunit ribosomal RNA
Source: RNAcentral
GACGAACGCUGGCGGCGUGCUUAACACAUGCAAGUCGAACGGAAAGGCCCUGCUUUUGUGGGGUGCUCGAGUGGCGAACGGGUGAGUAACACGUGAGUAACCUGCCCUUGACUUUGGGAUAACUUCAGGAAACUGGGGCUAAUACCGGAUAGGAGCUCCUGCUGCAUGGUGGGGGUUGGAAAGUUUCGGCGGUUGGGGAUGGACUCGCGGCUUAUCAGCUUGUUGGUGGGGUAGUGGCUUACCAAGGCUUUGACGGGUAGCCGGCCUGAGGGGGUGACCGGCCACAUUGGGACUGAGAUACGGCCCAGACUCCUACGGGAGGCAGCAGGGGGGAAUAUGGCACAAUGGGCGGAAGCCUGAUGCAGCAACGCCGCGUGCGGGAUGACGGCCUUCGGGUUGGAAACCGCUUUCGCCUGUGACGAAGCGUGAGUGACGGUAAUGGGUAAAGAAGCACCGGCUAACUACGU